Molecule: ribosomal RNA, 253 nt
Filed under: uncultured bacterium
Lineage: Bacteria
Description: partial 16S ribosomal RNA
Rfam family: Bacterial small subunit ribosomal RNA
Source: RNAcentral
UACAGAGGCCUCGAGCGUUAGGCGGAAUCACUGGGCUUAAAGCGUGUGUAGGCGGAUCGGUAAGUACCUUGUGAAAUCCCACGGCUUAACUGUGGAACUGCUGGGUAUACUGCCAGUCUUGAGCCACUCAGGGGCUACCGGAACAAAUGGUGGAGCGGUGAAAUGCGUAGAUAUCAUUUGGAACGCCAAUGGUGAAAACAGGUAGCUGGGGGUGUGCUGACGCUGAGGAGCGAAAGCCAGGGGAGCAAACGGG